This 211-nucleotide small RNA is filed under the name Pan troglodytes (chimpanzee). RNAcentral's name for it is "processed transcript". The record is from RNAcentral. Lineage: Eukaryota; Metazoa; Chordata; Mammalia; Primates; Hominidae.
CCCGGCGCUGCCGCCGCCCUCCUCUUGCUCUCCGUGUCUCCCUUAGUUUUGGGCGCAGGAGAGCCCUGGGCUCUGCACGGGCCUGCAGGCGGCGGCAAGGACACUGCGGCCUUAGCCCUCUUAGGGAGGCCGCUGCAGCCCCACCGGAAGACAUGUAAGGAAUUUGCAUAAGACAGCUAAGCAAAAUGGAGCUGGAGGAGCUUUAUUUGUG